Molecule: non-coding RNA, 86 nt
Organism: Karstenula rhodostoma CBS 690.94
Lineage: Eukaryota; Fungi; Ascomycota; Dothideomycetes; Pleosporales; Didymosphaeriaceae
Source: the annotation of a GenBank genome assembly
GGCUCGGUGGUGUAGUUGGUUAUCACGUCAGUCUAACAUACCCGUUAGACCACUGAAGGUCCCGAGUUCAAACCUCGGCUGAGUCA